Long non-coding RNA from Passer domesticus (house sparrow), 739 nucleotides. RefSeq lists it as uncharacterized. Lineage: Eukaryota; Metazoa; Chordata; Aves; Passeriformes; Passeridae. The transcript has 4 exons. The record is from RefSeq and is a predicted model, not a curated record.
CUCGAGUGCUGGGGGCAGUUUUGGGUGCCACAGUAUAAGAAGGCUUUAAAACUAUUAGAGGGUGUCCAAAGAGGGGGUCAUAAAGAUAGUGAAGGGCCUUGAAGGGAAGUCAUAUGAUGAGUGGCUGAAGUCUUUUUGUCUGUUCAGACUGGAGGAGACAGGGGAAACCUCACUGCAGUUAUAACUUCUUCGUGAGGGGAAGAGGAGGGACAGCUCAUUAAUUGACAGUGAUAAGACGAUCCAAAGGUGAUCCUUGCUGGUGUCAACGGUGAUAAUAGAAACUUUAUGUAAGCUUGAAUAUGCACGUUCUGCCGGAAUGUCUGUCCUGCACCUGUAGCUGAUAACAGAUGGACCAUGGGAAGACUUGUACAGCAUUGAAGCACCAGUCUUUUCUGUUUUAAGACAGAAACAGGCAUGUAAUACACUGAAGCUAAAUUCUCCGGAUUGCAAUGCUUUAAUCCUCUGAGGCUGUAAACAUCACUGCCAUUAUGUUUUCAUGGGUGUUAUUAUCCAUAAUCCAUGGUAUUUAUUAAUCAAUCAUGUUGUAUUCAUUGUUUUGAUGAGAACAGACAUGGAAGAAGGUCUCUCCUUGUCUCAUACAUUUCUUGAACUUAUCACAAGUUUUCAUAAGCCAGAUGGUAAAUGCAGAUGGUAUUGUUCAUUAUGUAUAGCAACAGAGGCUGUAAUCUUCUGGCAACCGCAGUUCACAAUGAGACAAAGUCUAAGAAAAUCCUGGAGU